CCUACGGGGGGCAGCAGUGGGGAAUAUUGGGCAAUGGGCGCAAGCCUGACCCAGCAACGCCGCGUGAAGGAAGAAGGCUUUCGGGUUGUAAACUUCUUUUGUCAGGGACGAAGCAAGUGACGGUACCUGACGAAUAAGCCACGGCUAACUACGUGCCAGCAGCCGCGGUAAUACGUAGGUGGCAAGCGUUAUCCGGAUUUACUGGGUGUAAAGGGCGUGUAGGCGGGACUGCAAGUCAGAUGUGAAAACCACGGGCUCAACCUGUGGACUGCAUUUGAAACUGUAGUUCUUGAGUACUGGAGAGGCAGACGGAAUGCCAGGUGUAGCGGGGAAAUGCGUAGAUAGAAGGAGGAACAGCAGGGGCGAAGGCGGUCUGCGGGACAGCAAGUGACGCGGAGGCGCGAAGGGGUGGGGAGCAAACAGGAUUAGAGACCCGUGUAGUC
RNAcentral lists this ribosomal RNA (443 nucleotides) under uncultured bacterium. Its description in RNAcentral is "partial 16S ribosomal RNA". It matches the Rfam family "Bacterial small subunit ribosomal RNA", at positions 338 to 795 of the family's 1533-position model. The record is from RNAcentral.